Molecule: long non-coding RNA, 208 nt
Organism: Glycine soja
Lineage: Eukaryota; Viridiplantae; Streptophyta; Magnoliopsida; Fabales; Fabaceae
Exons: 3
Source: RefSeq, a predicted model, not a curated record
UCUAUAGAUUAAUCUUCAUCCUGUCUUGGAUAAAACCACUUAUCAUCUAGUCAACAAGGAAAGACUAGCUAAGAUGAAGAAGGAAGCAAUUCUUAUAAACUGCAGUAGAGGACCUGUUAUUGAUGAAGCUGCACUUGUGGAGCAUUUAAAACAGAACCCGAUGUUUCGAGUAGGCCUUGAUGUGUUUGAGGAAGAGCCCUACAUGAAA